Molecule: long non-coding RNA, 2734 nt
Filed under: Homo sapiens (human)
Lineage: Eukaryota; Metazoa; Chordata; Mammalia; Primates; Hominidae
Description: non-protein coding lnc-SLC4A11-1:1
Source: RNAcentral
AGGAGCAGCACAGCCUUGCCCAGGCCCAGUCCACAGAGCCAGCAGCUUGGGUUGAGAUGAAUGAUGUGUUCACAAAUGAGGGGAUUUCCCUUCUGGACUAAACUGAAGGAGAGGCUUGUUGCUUUCCAGAGGUGUGUGGCUCUUAAGUUGACAUCAGCUUUUCCCCUUGUGGGUGGUUCUUUAGCUCUCCUGUCACACCAUUCGGGUGUCCUAAUGUAGGGACAAGAGCAAGCCUGCUGCUCAGGCCCCCUGGCGAGGCUUCACCUCACUGUGGAAGGGGGCGUCCUGCAGCUGGUUAGUCUUAGGCCUGGUGGCUGAUCACUUGUGGGGUCAGUCUCCAGCACCCAGCGCUCCCACAAGCCUUGCCAAGGAAGGCCUGCUUUUCAGCCACAAACUUCAGGAAACUCAUCCCCCCGCUCCCCAAAGUGUUGUUGCUGGCCCUGGGCUUGUGUGGCUCCUGAGGAUUGGGAAUUUCAAAUAAUUGCAAUACCUGAGUUAGAAUUCCUUCUAAUGGCAUCGUUUUAAGCUGGACCAUAAAGCAGAGGGGAAUUACAAGUGUGUCCCAUGCCUGACCUUCAUAAUUGGUGUGGGGGACAGGGGAGUCACAGCCACUGAUAUUUAGGUGAUGUCUCUUAGGACUUCAGUGCCUCAGCUGCCUGAACUGUAAAUGUUUUCUGAAUUUCACAUAUUUUUUUUUGCAUGCCUUAGGAAGAAGCACAUAGGUAAAACCAGCAGUUUCCAGUAAUAUAGGGGGUUUUUGAGCAAGGCCCCUGGAGCAGCGGAGAGACAAGAUGGAGCACAUGUAGUCUGUGUGCCUGGUCACACAGAGGCCUGCAUGCAAGUAGCAAAGCAGCUCUCAAGGGCUUGUCAGUAAAAUAUAUUAGAAAAAAAAAAAAAACAAUUUGAAGCCAAAUGAACAAAACUCCAGAUACCAUUGAUAAGAAAUUUUGCAUCAAGAAGGGCUUCUGAAAAGACCCACGUGCUCCAGUCCCAGCUCCAAAAGCCACUGAUGACAAGGGCCCCACUGUGGAACCUAAGUCUGGGAGCCCCCUGACUUCUGGCUGGCCAGAGGCUGCGGUCCGUCAAGGGCUUGCCUCGCUUCAGAAUCAGUAACAUAGAUCUUAAGUGCAAUUGAUUAAUAAGCAGUGAGUUACUGUAGCUUCCUUUAGCUCUACCGAACUCUUUUUAAAAACUCAAACUUGAGCAGCCUUAGAAAAGGGGUUGGGGGGUGGGAACCACAGGCCAUUUCUCUAAGUGGGCUGCUGUGAAGUUUUAAAUGAAAGCUCUAGCUUUAGGAGCUUGAGCCAUUUCCUGACUGCACUGGCCUGGCAGUCUGGCUGCUGCAGAAGAGUUUUUAAAGAGGGGUCGGAGCCCGCCCGUGAGAGCGGGUCUUCUCACCAUGUGGGGCUGUACUACGUGGUGGUCUUUGUUUCUCUUCACAGAAAUGCUCUCUCACCAACUUGCCCCACUGUCCCAACUCCUCUCCUCUUAGAGAAAAAACUGUGAUUACCUCAACUUGAAUAUGAAACUGUGAUUGAAAAAAGUCAAAACGUGAAGAAGCAUCAAAGCCAAAAAGGCAAAACUGGCUGAGGCCUCUGUUGAUGCUCCUCAGCCUACUCGGGAACGUGAAGGGGCAGCUGGCGAAAGGGCAUUCCUGGGGCCACUUGCUCUGCCCCACUGAUAAGGCACACCCGCGGUGCACUGUGAGCUCUUUGAGGACUGAGGCCAGGGGAUGCCUCCUGGAACCUGCCAGGCCUCUCUGUUCUGUGAAGGUCAGUAUCCACUUGAUUCCUCCAGGCGGCGCUCCAGGUGGGAGGAGCAGGGUCUUCUGCUGUUUCCAAAGGAAUGGCCAUGACACUGCUUUUGACCUUAGAAGUGGAUCCAGGGACCCAGCAAAGAGCGGGGGUGGGUUCCCAGGGACAGGCAGUCCUCCCGGGGCUUACAUGCUUUUUGCUAACUUUCCUAUUAGCAGCUUCAGUUUAUAUCACCCAGAGUGCGUGGGAUAAUGUUGAAGUCGCUGAAGUUACGGGUUAUUUUAUGUUUUUACAUGGGAUUUUUCUGUUUUUGAUUGGAAGAAGGAGACAGAAAUUGGAGGAAAUGGGAUUAUUAUCCUAGGGAAGGGCCGUUGGCAAGGAGUUGAGCCGGCCCCUCUGAGCCCUGGGGGCUAUCUGACCUGAAGCCUGGACACUGGGCCCUUCAGGUCGCAAGAAAAAGUUCCCUCCUAAAUUCUAUUAGGAUUUUGGAGAAUUUUUGCACAGUAAGAAGCUCUGGGUUGCUCCUUGGGCUUCUCAAAAGGGAAAAGUUCAAUUCAAAGAUUGUAAACUACGAAGUAUUCCAGCCGUGUUGCUGAUCUAGUUGGAUAGUUGUACCUCAAAAAAGUAGGUGAGAACUGGCUUCCUCAUUGUCCCAGGAUGUCAAAUACUAAUGACAUAAGAGCUCACUUACGUGCCAAAAUUCACUUUUAUACUAGUUUUUCAGUGCUUUAAUAUUUGUAACUUAAAUUUUAAAACUCGUAUUUACAAACACUACUGUAACUUCAGUGAAACUGAAUUGUGCGAUUGAAGCUUUUUGCUUAUCAUAGUAUUUAUUACACUACUUAAUUCAGUAAAUAUAUAAAAGUAGCCUUCAAUUUAUUUUUAUAUUAUUUUACAUGUUUUUACCUGCAGUUGUGUAUGUGAAUUUACCUUGGUAAUCGAGAUGUCAUGCUAAGGACCAAUAAACUAUCACUGAACAA